This 450-nucleotide ribosomal RNA is filed under the name uncultured bacterium. RNAcentral's name for it is "partial 16S ribosomal RNA". It matches the Rfam family "Bacterial small subunit ribosomal RNA", at positions 354 to 796 of the family's 1533-position model. The record is from RNAcentral.
GUGGGGAAUAUUCCGCAAUGGACGAAAGUCUGACGGAGCAACGCCGCGUGAGUGAUGAAGGUUUUCGGACUGUAAAGCUCUGUUGUUUAGGACGAAAGUGCCUGUUGCAAAUAGUUACAGGUAUUGACGGUACUGAACGAGGAAGCCACGGCUAACUACGUGCCAGCAGCCGCGGUAAUACGUAGGUGGCAAGCGUUGUCCGGAAUUAUUGGGCGUAAAGAGCAUGUAGGCGGGAAUCUAAGUCUGUUGUGAAAAUGCGGGGCUCAACCCCGUAUUGCGAUGGAAACUGGGUUUCUUGAGUGCAGGAGAGGAAAGGGGAAUUCCCAGUGUAGCGGUGAAAUGCGUAGAUAUUGGGAGGAACACCAGUGGCGAAGGCGCCUUUCUGGACUGUGUCUGACGCUGAGAUGCGAAAGCCAGGGUAGCGAACGGGAUUAGAUACCCCAGUAGUCC